Cynara cardunculus var. scolymus (artichoke) is the source of this 325-nucleotide long non-coding RNA. RefSeq lists it as uncharacterized. The transcript is spliced from 4 exons. The record is from RefSeq and is a predicted model, not a curated record. NCBI's taxonomy places the organism in Eukaryota, Viridiplantae, Streptophyta, Magnoliopsida, Asterales, Asteraceae.
UUGUGUAUUACAUCUAGAGGGCAUAAUUGAUAUAGAAUUUUGAUUAAUUCUGGCAGUUUCUGGUAGUAAAAGGAAGGCACAGAGCUUCAAGGAUGAGGAGUUUUUCAUAAGCUCAGUUCCAACAAAUCAACAUUUUGAAGCAGGCCUUUCAGUCAGAARUAAUCAAGGCUUUGCAUCCAACAGGUUGGAGAAUGCUGUUCUUGACCUAGCUGCAGAUGAUAGUGGGGGAUUACAAAAACAGAAGUCUUCAUAUCAUUGGGAUAAGAGGAGUAAAAAGUAUGUCAAGUUGAACAACGGUGACCGUGUAACAGCUAGUGGGAAGGUA